RNAcentral lists this ribosomal RNA (1403 nucleotides) under uncultured bacterium. Its description in RNAcentral is "partial 16S ribosomal RNA". It matches the Rfam family "Bacterial small subunit ribosomal RNA". The record is from RNAcentral.
GAAUUCGCCCUUAGAGUUUUAUCCUGGCUCAGGACGAACGCUGGCGGCGUGCUUAACACAUGCAAGUCGAACGGAGUACCCUCGAAAGAGAUUUCGGUCAAUGGAGAGGACUACUUAGUGGCGGACGGGUGAGUAACGCGUGAGGAACCUGCCUUUCAGUGGGGGACAACAGUUGGAAACGACUGCUAAUACCGCAUAACGUACUGGUAUCGCAUGGUACUGGUACCAAAGAUUUAUCGCUGAGAGAUGGCCUCGCGUCUGAUUAGCUAGUUGGUAGGGUAACGGCCUACCAAGGCGACGAUCAGUAGCCGGACUGAGAGGUUGGCCGGCCACAUUGGGACUGAGAUACGGCCCAGACUCCUACGGGAGGCAGCAGUGGGGAAUAUUGGGCAAUGGGCGCAAGCCUGACCCAGCAACGCCGCGUGAAGGAAGAAGGCUUUCGGGUUGUAAACUUCUUUUGACAGGGAAGAGCAGAAGACGGUACCUGUCGAAUAAGCCACGGCUAACUACGUGCCAGCAGCCGCGGUAAUACGUAGGUGGCAAGCGUUGUCCGGAUUUACUGGGUGUAAAGGGCGUGUAGCCGGGCUGACAAGUCAGAUGUGAAAUCCGGGGGCUCAACCCCCGAACUGCAUUUGAAACUGUUGGUCUUGAGUAUCGGAGAGGCAGGCGGAAUUCCUAGUGUAGCGGUGAAAUGCGUAGAUAUUAGGAGGAACACCAGUGGCGAAGGCGGCCUGCUGGACGACAACUGACGGUGAGGCGCGAAAGCGUGGGGAGCAAACCAGGAUUAGAUACCCUGGUAGUCCACGCUGUAAACGAUGGAUACUAGGUGUGCGGGGGACUGACCCCCUGCGUGCCGCAGCUAACGCAAUAAGUAUCCCACCUGGGGAGUACGAUCGCAAGGUUGAAACUCAAAGGAAUUGACGGGGGCCCGCACAAGCGGUGGAUUAUGUGGUUUAAUUCGAUGCAACGCGAAGAACCUUACCAGGGCUUGACAUCCUACUAACGAAGUAGAGAUACAUUAGGUACCCUUCGGGGGAAGUAGAGACAGGUGGUGCAUGGUUGUCGUCAGCUCGUGUCGUGAGAUGUUGGGUUAAGUCCCGCAACGAGCGCAACCCUUAUUGUUAGUUGCUACGCAAGAGCACUCUAGCGAGACUGCCGUUGACAAAACGGAGGAAGGUGGGGACGACGUCAAAUCAUCAUGCCCCUUAUGUCCUGGGCUACACACGUAAUACAAUGGCGGUCAACAGAGGGAUGCAAAACCGUGAGGUGGAGCGAACCCCUAAAAGCCGUCCCAGUUCAGAUCGCAGUCUGCAACCCGACUGCGUGAAGUCGGAAUCGCUAGUAAUCGCGGAUCAGCAUGCCGCGGUGAAUACGUUCCCGGGCCUUGCACUCACCGCCCGUCA